This is a long non-coding RNA of Esox lucius (northern pike), 3095 nucleotides long. The record is from Ensembl. NCBI's taxonomy places the organism in Eukaryota, Metazoa, Chordata, Actinopteri, Esociformes, Esocidae.
GAUGUACAAGUCAGGAUGACCUGAAUUAGAGCCCAAACCCGUCCCGUCGAGGUGGUUGGCAGCCUCAAUAAUUCUGAGAAGCUUUUCUGGGAGCCAUAUUUAUUUAUUUAAUAUAGACUUAAAUGGCAUUCCUUAAACCACUACUUUACCAGGCCAUCAGUGCAUGUUACGCUUAAAAUCAGUGCGUCCUACCGCCGCCUGGUGGCAAAACAUACAAAUCGCAACACGCAUUUGCAGAUCUCUGCUGCGGUUGAACUGUAGUAAAAUUCACGUGUAAAAAGAGUGUGAAUUGAGAGGCCUGUCUGAAUUGUAACUGAUGACUUGUCGGUAUAAGCAUUUACAGAUUUGUCUACACAUUCACAGAUAUAUGUACCCAUUUACAGAUUUGUCUACACAUUCACAGAUAUAUGUACCCAUUUACAGAUUUGUCUAUGCAUUUACAGAUUUGUCCAUACAUUAACAUAAUCUGAAUACACAUUUGCAGAUUCCUGUACACAUUCACAAAAUCAGUAUGCAUUUACAGAUUAAUUUACACAUUUACAAAUCUGAUUACACACACACAGAUUGAGAUACAGUUACACAACUCUCCACACACAUUUGUAAAUUGUUUUGCUACAAUAAUGCCCCCAUAAUCAGGGAGCUGUCUGUGGUGUUAAACAUCUCUCACAGCACCUCAUUUCACUAGGCACCAUGUUUAUACAGACAAAAACAUUUAUUUUCAAUGAAAAAACCCUACUUACUGCACGUUUAAUAAAAGAACUGUAAACCCUCCCCAAGACUACAUUUGAAAAAGCAGGCUGUCAAAGAACUUUCAAUGCCGAAUGACUUGCUGAGUGACUGACUACAGGGGCCCUUGUUAAAUAGCGUAGUGGUUAAAGACACGGACUGCCAUACAGGGGAUCGGAGAUCAAGCUUUGCCAUAGUCAAAACUAAUAAUUAAUUAGGAUUUGUUCAGGACAGACCAAAACUAUGCUGGCUUGAACCAGCAGUAUCUAUGUUAUAGUAAGCCUAAAAUAAAACUCUUUAUGGUCAAAUUGCGACUAUUUCUGUUGGAUUUUCAAAGAACGCAUCUGUGCAUGCUUUUUUGGGUAAUACAGAUCACAACCCAUUUGGCAGCAAAAUAGGUGUUUCCACAAUUCUCUUGUCUUUUCACUUGACAAAAAAGUCAGUUAUCGUCACCUAUAUUGAUAGUUUUUGUAUCCAUGUUAUUCUUGAAUGAAAGAAAAAAUAACGUUGUUGUGCCAUGAAUUUAAAUAGCUUGGCAGAGUAAAGAUAAUCUUCAGUCCUCUAGCAAUUGCUCAAUUCUUAUGACUAUUCCAAGUAGUAAAUUAGUAGAUACUAGUAAGCCUAUUACUAUAUAAUAAGCUUUUAAAACGGCCAGUGCCAAAAGCCACACAGUUCAUGGAUGCUGUUUGUGGUGGAAGUGAACUUAAGGAGAAAUAAUAAUCAGUUUAACACAGUGCUUAAUGGUGUCUAGUUAAAUAUUUAAACUUGGUGUGAUGUUAAUGCAUGACAAAAUGAUCUGAUGUUGGGUCAGAGGUUCUCUAGGAUCAGGUAAACGGUCAGUGUCAGAGGAUCUCUAGGCCCAGGUAAACAGUCAGUGGAUCUCUAGGAUCAGGUAAACAGUCAGAGGAUCUCUAGGACCAGGUAAACAGUCAGAGGAUCUCUAGGACCAGGUAAACGGUCAGUGUCAGAGGAUCUCUAGGACCAGGUAAACGGUCAGUGUCAGAGGAUCUCUAGGACCAGGUAAACAGUCAGUGGAUCUCUAGGACCAGGUAAACGGUUAGUAUCAGAGGAUCUCUAGGACCAGGUAAACGGUCAGAGGAUCUCUAGGACCAGGUAAACAGUCAGAGGAACUCUAGGACCAGGUAAACAGUCAGAGGAUCUCUAGGACCAGGUAAACAGUCAGAGGAUCUCUAGGACCAGGUAAACAGUCAGAGGAACUCUAGGACCAGGUAAACAGUCAGAGGAACUCUAGGACCAGGUAAACAGUCUGUGUCAGUGGUUCUCUAGGACCAGGUAAACAGUCAGAGGAUCUUUAGGACCAGGUAAACAGUCAGAGGAUCUUUAGGACCAGGUAAACAGUCAGAGGAUCUCUAGGACCAGGUGAACGGUCAGUGGAUCUCUAGGACCAGGUAAACAGUCAGUGUCAGAGGAUCUCUAGGACCAAUCAAGUGAACCAAGUUUGUUGUAAUCAGACUUUGAACCAACAAACCAGGUUUUUUCAUACCUUCAGAACAGAACCUAGUGUAGUCUUUUACAUCUAUAGUCUUUCAGUUCAUAAUAAUAUAAUAUUCAAUACUACUACCAAUAUUGCUGAUAGUUCAAUCAAUCAAAUGUUUUUAUAAAGCCCUUUUUACAUCAGCAGUUGUAACAAAGUGCUUUAACAAAACACCCAGCCUUAAACCCCAAGGAGCAAACAACAGUAGUGUUGAAUUUCAGUGGCUAGGAAAAACUCCCUAAGAAGGCCGAAAUUUAGGAAGAAACCUACAGAGGACCCAGGCUCAGUUGGGUGACCAGUCCUCUUCUGGCUGUGCUGGUUGAACAUAUUAAGAGUACAAAUUGUAAUAAUUAAUAAAUGCAUGUGGGCUAAAUCACCCUCUGAGUUUUGUCAGCAACACAUCACAAAAGGUACUCCAAGCAUGUAUGUGGGGUGGGGAUUUGGAGCUUGCAUUAUUAAGUAGUACGACAUUCAAUGUGCCAGUGUAAUGGAGUUAAUACUGUUCUUCCGCGGUUACAGAAGGGGCUAUCCAAUUGGUACCUUUUGUAUAGUUCAGACAGUCUGUUGUCAAGGAGAACGGUCUUGUGUUGUGUAGCAAAGAACUACUGGUUUCAAUUGUCAGUGGAGGAAGGUAGCAGUAGUAUGUCGACUUAUUAGGACUGGUGUGUACUGGCCCAAUUCAAUCACUCAUUAUGUUAAUAUUCACUGUUCCUGCUUUUGGUAUCCACAUAUCACAUUAUUCCUGUAAGUCAACAGCCACUUUUUCCAUUCAGCAGAAUGAUAAUCAUGCACAGGUCAUUCCUUCAUAUCCUUGUUCUGCAAACUGUAAAGAAUGAGAGUAACAGGAUCUACGCACGCUUCCACAGGGACAACG